Molecule: ribosomal RNA, 745 nt
Filed under: Cryptosporidium parvum
Lineage: Eukaryota; Apicomplexa; Conoidasida; Eucoccidiorida; Cryptosporidiidae
Description: SSU rRNA
Rfam family: Eukaryotic small subunit ribosomal RNA
Source: RNAcentral
UCAUAAUAACUUUACGGAUCACAUUAAAUGUGACAUAUCAUUCAAGUUUCUGACCUAUCAGCUUUAGACGGUAGGGUAUUAGGCCUACCGUGGCAAUGACGGGUAACGGGGAAUUAGGGUUCGAUUCCGGAGAGGGAGCCUGAGAAACGGCUACCACAUCUAAGGAAGGCAGCAGGCGCGCAAAUUACCCAAUCCUAAUACAGGGAGGUAGUGACAAGAAAUAACAAUACAGGACUUUUUGGUUUUGUAAUUGGAAUGAGUUAAGUAUAAACCCCUUUACAAGUAUCAAUUGGAGGGCAAGUCUGGUGCCAGCAGCCGCGGUAAUUCCAGCUCCAAUAGCGUAUAUUAAAGUUGUUGCAGUUAAAAAGCUCGUAGUUGGAUUUCUGUUAAUAAUUUAUAUAAAAUAUUUUGAUGAAUAUUUAUAUAAUAUUAACAUAAUUCAUAUUACUAUAUAUUUUAGUAUAUGAAAUUUUACUUUGAGAAAAUUAGAGUGCUUAAAGCAGGCAUAUGCCUUGAAUACUCCAGCAUGGAAUAAUAUUAAAGAUUUUUAUCUUUCUUAUUGGUUCUAAGAUAAGAAUAAUGAUUAAUAGGGACAGUUGGGGGCAUUUGUAUUUAACUAGUCAGAGGUGAAAUUCUUAGAUUUGUUAAAGACAAACUAAUGCGAAAGCAUUUGCCAAGGAUGUUUUCAUUAAUCAAGAACGAAAGUUAGGGGAUCGAAGACGAUCAGAUACCGUCGUAGUCUUAA